UCUGGGCCAGUAGCUAUGGGGUGUUGCAAGUGGUGCUGUUUGCAGGUAGGGGAGUCCUUCCAUCUCUGGUGCUGGUGGGGAUGAAUUCAGCCCAGGACCCAUUUCUGACCUUUUUGUGCAACCAGGAGCAUUAUCCCCCACCAGGAAAUGGAGGCAGGGUCCCAUGAGGACAAGGGGACCCAGACCAACCUGCCCCUGUAUGCAGAAGCCAGCACCUAGGCAGAGGGCCCUGGGCAUGAACAUGCCGGCACCCAGACCAGGGCCUUCUGCUGGGCUGAGAUGGGGUGCCAGACCGAACCCCUGCCCAUGACGGACGCUAGCACCCAGACAAAGGUUGGCCAAUGUCAAAAACGACCAGGACAGGGAGAGAGGUAUGGUGCUUUUUGUUGUGUUAAUUUGUGAGCCUGGGAUCAGAGCUGGAUGGGACCUGGGUGAUGAUCAGGGCCUCUUCUGCCUCCAGGCGGGUCAAGAUGACCUAUGAUGCCCGUCCCUCAGGGUGCCAGUGCCCUGAACCAAGCAGUUGUCCCGUGUGUCAAUCCCACAACAUGUCUGCCCCUGGAUGCUGUGCUCAGGCAGCGUGGGGCCAUAUCUUGGGAGGGGAUUGGCCCCAGGCUGUAUGAAGCCCCAAGAGACAGGUGGGAGAGCUUCUUACCCUUACCGUAAAGAAGUUCUUCCUUAUGUCUAAUGUAAAUCUGCUCUCUGUCAGUUUGUGGCCAUUACUUCUACUUAUCACAGGGGACACCCCGGUAAAUAGGGUACCUCGUAUUUCUUUCCACCCCCCGCCACGUCCUGGUGAAUUUGUAGAUGGCCACAGGUCACCUCUCAGCCUUCUCUUGUGGAGGCUGAAGACAUCCAGGUCCCUCAAUCUCUCUUCCUAGGACCUUACCUUCAGGCCGUAAACCAUAUGGGUGGCCCUCCUCUGGACCCUCUCAAGGUUACCCAUGUCCCUCUUAAAGUGCGGCAUCCAAAACUGAAUGCAGUUUUCCAGCUGUGGGCUUACCAAUGCUGCAUAGAGGGGACGUAUCACCUCCCUAGACCUGUUUGUGAUUCACCUGCUAAUGCAUAGCAGAGGGUGGUUAGGUUUACUCUUCUCACUUUGUCGCACUGACGACUCAAGUUCAUCUUGAAGUCAACUGUGACUCCAAGAUACCGUUCUGCUGCUGUGCUGCUUAGAAAGUCUUUCCCCAGUUUGUGAGUGUGAUGGUGAUUCUUUCUCCCUAGGUGCAGCACUUAGCACUUGACUUCAUUAAAGUGCAUCCUAUUCUGUCCAUGAUCCAUCUCUAACCAGUUACUCUUGUGCAAUCAGGAGCAGAUGUCCCUCCCAGAGGAUGGACGCAGGCACCCAGGCCAGCCUGCCCCUCACCAGAGAGGCCAGCACCCAGGCAGAGGGCCCCCGGCAUGCAGACACCUGCACCCAGACAGGGGCCCUCUGCCUGGCUGAGGUGGGGUGCCAGGCUGGCCCUGGGCCAAUGCUGGAGGCAAGCACCGAGACCCAGGGGCAUCAUCGUCUAAGAUGGACACAACAGGGGGAAAGAUAUGAUGCUUGUCCUAGGGCUAGCUUGUGAGUGUGCGAUCUGUGUGAGGAGCGGAGGGCGCGCUGGAGCCAGGACUCUGUCCCUGGUCCUGGGAAGGGUCUUGCAGUUUGGGAGAAGGAUGGGUUGAGGGCCAGGACCCCUGGUUCCUUCCCAGCUCUGGAGGCCUUGGGAGGGAAUAGGUUAGUAAUGGGGACAUGUCUUGUGUGUCUUCAGUAAGUCCCUUUAACCACAAGUGCCUCCAGCGCCCUGUGUGUCUAGGUGGCGCAGGGCUGGGGCAGGGGGUUGACAGCCCUGGGCUCUCUGUUCUGGGAGCCCUCCCCAUUGUGUAUAUCCAGAGCGCAGCCAGGAACCAGCCCUAGGCCCAGCAGCACAGGGGGAGGAAGGCAGAUGGGUCCGGCAGGGCUCCCAGGGCCGGUCAAUGGGACAGAGGCAGUGGUGGAGAGAGGGGAGACCGGUGCAUGGGCUGGUUGAAGUGGCAGUGGCCUGGGGGUUUGGGGUAUCUGCGAGGUGACCAGUGUCUCUGCCUCCCACCCCCAGUGCUGACACGGCGGCAGAGGGGAGGAGGCGAAGGUGGGGAGCAGUAAGAAGGUGAGUGUCCCCCCUGCACCCCAGCAGCCCCAGGCGUGAGGGGUGCCCUCCCCCAGGCCACAUGAUGAUCGGGUGGCACCUGCCUCCAGGCCACUCAGGAUGACCCAUCCUCCCUCUCUGCUAGGGCUCUAGUACCUCAUAAGGACCGGGCAUCUUCCAUUUUGGCCCCUCAUUGCCCACCUCUGGGCCCAAGGACCCUGCUGCCAGGGCUUCACCCCGGGGUUUGGAGGUCAGAGCUUCUGGCUCGUCAGGCCUGCUGGGACAGAAAGCCGCACUGAGCCAUGUGUGACAACCACGUACUGCUCCCUGCUGGGGAGAUUCUCCUUUACCCCGUAGUUGUUCCUGGGUGUCAAUGGAGGGGUCAAGAUUGACCCCGUCUCCCUGACACUGGUUUCUUCUUACCUGGUUUGCACCCCACUCUGAGUGUGCCCUGACUCUGCCCCUUCUCCCACAGGGUGGCCUGGAUUGUCCCAUGCUGUAUUGCCCCCAGGAGAUGAACACCUGAACUCCUCCCCUCCCCACGCACCCCUGUCCUUCCCUCCCUCCAUCCUCCCCUGCCUGAUCCGGGAUGGGCCCACAGGAUGCCAGUGUUGGUGAUUCUGCGUCUCUGAGCAUGCCUCCACCCGCCGCAUCUCGGCACUGUGGCUCAGGUGGCCUGGCUACAAUCAAGGCAGGCAGUGCCAUGCCAAACUGAGGACCUCACCACGAUUGCCCUAAGACCAGUGGGAAGAGCCUAAGAGCAGACCUGGAGAGAGAGGCACCCGGGGCUUGCACUGGGACACUUGACACAGAAUUGGGUGCUUUCCCAGCUGCCAAAAGAAUCUAGCAGUUUUCCCCAAGCCCACCACGCAUGGGGAAGCAUUGGACGAUUUUCUGGCUUUUAUAGCAUUUAGGAAAAACCUGGAGGCUCAACUCACCACUGCAAGGAGUCCAGCAGGUUCCCACCACAGACCAAAAUACCCAGGGAAGCACCACACCGCUCUCCAGACUUCCGGAGCAUCGGGUACCCAAGUGGAUGCCCUCCCUCCAACACAGAUGCAGCAGGACCCCGAGUUGCAUGCAGGACCCUGUGCAGAAGACUCCAUCUCAGUUGUGAUUUUGCACAUAGAAGGCAGAAGCAGAAUCCUUGUGAUCGCAAUUCUCGCCAGACACCUCGCAUAAAAAAAAGACAUCCUCAUCACGCCGAGAUGUCACCAGGGCUAAUUACAAGACCCGAGUAGAAAGGGGUGAGCUGCAGGGAAGGAGGAGCUCCAGCCAAGUCAUGAACAUGCUGUCACACCUGGACCCUCAGGGAACCACUGAUCCCCACCUCCAGGCAACUGAAAGUUCACCCAGUGGAAACAACAAAGUUGUGGUGUGGUGUGACCCAGAGGGGUGGGAUGUGCCUGCAGCCCAAUGCCAACUACAGUCAAGCCCAGGAUGAUUGCAGUGACGCCUGAUGUUGCCAGUGGGAUCCUAGUUGAGAACCAUAAAGGGGCGAGGAUGCUGCAGCACUGCAGACUCCCUGUGCAGUUGGCCCAGGCACAGCAGGAUUCCUGAUCCAGCCCAUCGCCUGACUUCCCAUUGCAUCCAGAGGUGCCCUGUGUCCCAGGGCCAAAUAUGAAGCUGUCAUGGCAGAAACCUGUCCUCUCAAGCUAACCGCACAAGUGAAGCAGUGUGUGGUUCCUGGUGCACAAGGUCAUUCCCAUGUUAAAAGAAGAUAUGCAUAGGCCUCUUGCUUCAAAAGCAAGUCCCACAGUGAUGGGUAAAUGGCGAUGGGAGCAGACAUGUAUGAUUACCAGAAGCCCCUGGUCACGGACCUUCUCCUGGUCAUGGACCUGCACAUACAGAGCCAAUGACUAGAAGAUUAUGAUUUGUACUUUGAAUUGAGACAGGUGUGUAAUUAGGCAGCUGCAGUUAUAAGGCAACCCCUUCUCCUCAUACCCCUCCUCAUCUUUGACAUAAAUAGACUAGAUUAAGAGUCUACAAACAACUGCUUAUAAUCAAUUCACUACCAAUUUUUGAGGUUAUUAAUGACCCCCAUAGACCAAGGCUUAUAUCGAGAAGGCCAUUUUGAUAUCAAGGAAAAUGGAUCCAGAAAUGGAAGACAAUUGACAUCAUUAAUAAAUUUCUUAUCAUGGACCCCACAUCUAAACCUCCUAGUUCCCUUUUCCUAAGACAGAGCUGGACUACAUUGAACAAGGUUCAUAGUGGAAAACUACCUAUUUUUAAAAAGAAUUGUAUUAAAGUCCCCGAGUGUGAGUGUGGCAAAAUCCAAACUAUCACAUAUCACAGAGGACUGUCCUAUCUGUCUUUGUAAUGAUUGCAUUAAAGACCUGCACCAGGCUGCUGACGAUGGCUCUCCAUGAGUAUCAUACCUGAUACAGUCACUCUCGCCUUAUCCCUCAGUGCCAUUGCUGAUAGGAUGCUUAGAGCUUGUUCUGUUAUUUGGAUGCUGUAUUCCAUAGGAAUCAAAGCAAAAAAUGGAAGCCGUUGUGCUCUGCUCAUAACCCUGGCUCCUAACUGACCGUAUCAUAGUGCCUGGCAAAGUCCACCUCAGCCCAGCUAUGACCCGAGCAGUGCAGGAAACCAACUGCUAUAAUGGUUGUAGCAGAAGAGCUCACGUCGUGGCCUGGUCAGAUCCUGACAAUCUGCAGUUCUGCUGAAUCCCUGUCAUCGACUGUCUCAGGCAGGACACGAGAAGUGGAGGAGAAGAAAACCAGCCCCAAAGGCUGCUGGAUAGAUGUUUGUUUGAUAUGUUCCACGAUGCCCAGCCGCUUGGCCACAAAAUGAUGUCAGCAAAAGAAGCAACCAAACAAGAGGUUCAAUGUCAAGUGCUUCAAAACCCUGCUAAAAGACAUUACGUCCAGCAGUGUCUGAGGGAGAAACGUGCCAAGUGCCCUGAUCCUCUUGACACCACUGAUCAGUCAGGAAAGAGCGAGAGUUUCAAGAAAGGCAUCCACGAGGCAUGCUGACAAUCCAAGGCUUCUCCACCAAGAAACGUCAGGACUGGUUCAAUGAGAGAGACAGCUUUCAAAUUCAUGCCUUUCAAAUAGAAGACACAACAACAUCAGCUUUAAAUAGAAGUACCUUCAUCGGUGAUCUUCAGUACAGAUAAUUCCCUCAAUGGCCCCUGCCACACUAACAGUUUUGCACACACACGUGGAAAAUGGUUUUCCUCUUUUGUGUGUGUUAGGAAAAGACUCCACUGAAUAAGUGUUUAAUGUGUAACAUGUAAUAGAAAAAUGGGAUAAUUGAUUAUGCCAGUGCUGCAAAUCCUGAUGAAAUCUUCCCUGGGCUCACAUAAGGGCUUCACUGAAGAGAAGGUGCUUGGGUUUGGUCUAGCACAUCAUCCUGCACGUUCCCUUAGUCAUUGCUUUCCAUUUGCCCUGAGGGUUUUCUCCCCCUCCACUUGCCAGAGGAGUCUGAUCCCUUCCUCAGGCUGGAACAGGGCCAGGUUUCAGAUGGCAGAUCACAUCAGGAUUUCUUUGCAGGUACCGUCCGUGUAGGAGAUUUCACCUCUGGGGUCCAGCUCUUUGUCCUGACACAUGCAGAGUUCCCAGUAAAUGUGUGGACAUGGGGUCCGUCAGCACUGUGGCAGCUCGUGGGAUCUAAGCCUUCCCUCUUCCCCUCUUGUGUCACCAUGUGAUAUAAAGGUGACCUGGGAAAUGUCCGGCUCAUCCUGUCUUUGCUCUCUGAGUGCUCAGGACCAGUCCUGCCAUGAGCGUCUCACCAGAGCACAUCCACAUGAGGUGCCAGGGCUUGAAUUCCCCUGGAGAGGCCAUGGCUGGUCACGGGCCCUGUUCUGCAGGGCACUGCUCUAUCCAGUCGUCUUUUCAUUCUUGUACUGGAGUCACUGGGGUCACGGCAAGAAAUCAGGGUCCCAGUUCAUCCCACCUGACCACUCCAGUAGGGUCCCCUCCAGGAUACCUUGCGUGAAGUCUUCCCCAGGAUCAGGUCCCGGAAGACAGAGCAGGCCAGAGACCACAAGGGAAGUCCAAACUAUGCUACACUUGCUAUUGCUGAAGGGGUAUGUUGAUGGGCUCCAUUAGAGCAGAUGUGUCUCCAGGGACAUGGGAUCAUUGAACAGGAGGACUGGAAGGGGCCGCACAAUGUCAUCUCAUCCAGCCCCCUGAUCCAGGUGCUGUCAUCCCUGAGUAACCCAUCCCAGCCAAGUGUCCGUCCAACCUGCUUCUCAAAGUUUCCCGUCACAGAGACACCACCUCUCCUCUAGGCAGCCUGCUCCAAUGUCUGGCCCUUCUCAUGAUCAGAAAGUCCCUGGUGAGGCCUCCCCAGUGCUGAAUAGAGGGGAAGAGUCAUUUCCCUUGACGUACACAUGACACUCCUGUUAAUACAGCCCAGGACGCUGUUCUCUUUUUUUGGAACAAACAGGAGGGAGAAAUGGGAGACACAAAUUUGUAGCUCAGUCUUGGUCAGAGCCACCUGCCCAUGGGCCACAAAGCUGAGACCUGGGUCCUCCCUGAUGUAACCUUGGAGCCGUCCAGGUUGAUUGUGGGUUAAGCUGGCCUCCUCCUCUAUUAGCAGGGUCGGGGCCAGCUCUGCUCUCACCCUAGCGUGAUUGUCCCUCUCAAACGAGGACCCAUGAUCCACCCAUCUCUGAACACCUGUUCUGCAAGGAGCAUGCGGCAAGCGGGACCCAGAUUUCCUCCUGCUUCACAGCCAGCUGUUCAGCCUGGGCAUCAUGCAGAGCCUGCUGAUUUUCCUGGCCCUGGGGAGGGGGAGAAGGUCAGAUGAAACACCAGCUCUUUGAUCCCCGCAGAGCUGCACCAAUUCAGUUGCUCUGGCAGCAAGCGAGCUCAGCCCAGGCUCAGGUGGCAGUCAGGACCCCUCUGCACACCCCCAGCCAGGCCAAGCAAGCUGAUGUUUGGCUGUGGGCCUGCAGCACUGCUCAGCUGGGUGUCGUGAAGCCCCAGUGGGGUCCUGAACCUCAGACAAAGCCGGCUUGCUCAACAGUUCGCAGCACGGGCCCGGGACUAAAGCCCUGGAUAGGGAUUGGGGAGAGCUGUGCACAGCUCAACAGUUGUGACCUCUCUGUGCCUUCCUCUACAUGUGGAGUAGGGCGAUAGCAGCCCCAGCCUCUGCUGUGACAGCCCUUUGGGAUGUGCUGCUGGAAAGUGCUAGGUGAGACCUAUGUAACAUCAUGGCAUAAAUCAAUGGAACCCGCAGCAUCUGAACGGACAACGGAGGCUCCUAGUCUGGUGACCCUGGCGAGUAGAGACACUCAAAAAGGCCGAGGUGGACUUGAUCUAAGUUAUGGUUUUAUCUGUAAGCAGUGUAACUUAGAUUGGUAGCAAGAAGAGCACACCUCUGCCCUUGCAGGGGGUGCAAAUCUUACACCAGUUUCCUCCACUUAAACGACGUGUGCCAAACUUCUCUUCUGCAGUGGGUGUAGACCGGACUGUGAUCACUUAUUCCAGUUAUAGCGUAAUGUCUGCCCCUGGCCGUCUGUCCAGAUGUACUGAGCAGGAUGCAAUGAGGCCAGGCCAGAGGCCUGCAGCCAGGCAGUCUCAGUGAGAGACAGGCCCAGCCCUUGCGGGGACAGGCACCCCCUGCACUCAGCCCGGCGCAGCAGCCUGGUCCCAGCGGGGCUGGGGAUGCAAUCCAGGCAGCCGGUCCUGAGGCCACGGACAGCAGGGCCCACACGCUGCAGCCCUGGCAAGCCUGCGUGGCCUGCAAUGACCUUGGCUGGGCAACACUGAAAGCUCUUGGUCCCGACCCUGUGUGCAUGAUGCUCAACAGGUGAUGCUGUAUGUUCAAAGUGCACACGCAUUUUUUCGUGGCAUGAAUUAAUUGAUUCAUGGAUUCACAGACAUUAGGGCUGGAGGGGACCUCAGAAGAUCAUCGAGUCCAGCCCCCUCCCCUGGGGCAGGAAGUCAGCAGGGAUCGUAGGAUCCAGCGAGAUAAACAUCCAAAUGUCUCUUGAAGGCUUUCAAAGUCGGUGCUUGAACCACCUCCAGCGGCAGUCUGUUCCAGACCUUGGGGGUCGCACAGUAAAGAAAUUCUUCCUUACGUCCAGCCUGAAACUGGCCCCAGUUCUGUGCUGUGCACGGGGCAGUGCCAGCUGCCCGCCCUUGCAGUCCCAGGACACGGGGCCGGGGCCUUCUUCCAGGUGCUCCGUGGCGGGAAGAUUGACCACCUCCCAGCCAGGAACAUGGGAUUAGGGUUCAACCGCCUCAGCGCCCUGGCCUGGUGCAGCCAAAGGCCCCAGCUGCAGCAGGUCCUCAAGCCAGCUGCUACCCCCACACCUGGGGAGCACAUCUGGGCACAUUGCACAUGUCCACAUCCAGAUGGGGACAAGUCUCCUCACCCCUGCUCCCAGCCCAGCAUUGUAGGGGGCAGGGCUUGGCAGCCGUCUCGCAAGUGGGCCAGGCAAAGCCUGGGCUGAGAUAUCGAACCAGCCGUGUUGAAGGGGAAAAACAAAAUGGUUCCAGUCUGCCAUUUUGUUUGUGAGUGAGUCAUGUAGCCAGGUCAUGACCUUGCUGUAAACUAGGUUUUUUUUUUCUCUUUCUCCAGUAACAAGUUGAAGACAUGUGCAGACUUGUCUGCGUCGUGGCUAAUGUUGAUUGGUUUAUCCUGUUGCUAUGCUUAUGACGUCACAUUUUCUAUAUUACCCCCUCACUGCCUAUGUUCAGAGUCAGACCUCAUGGCAAAAUUCUGAAUUUGUGUGUGGCGCUGACCAGGAAUGCAUUUUUUAUUAAACUAAGUCUUUAAACUUCGA
Long non-coding RNA from Alligator mississippiensis (American alligator), 8841 nucleotides. RefSeq lists it as uncharacterized. NCBI's taxonomy places the organism in Eukaryota, Metazoa, Chordata, Crocodylia, Alligatoridae. The record is from RefSeq and is a predicted model, not a curated record. The transcript has 5 exons.